GAGGUGUUAGGAAACUCACUAUACAGCUGGGGAAGCUGAGCUUUCGAGACAAGGAAGAGGAGAUGGUGAUUUGAACUCAGGUGUUAGAUGUUGAUUCUGCCCAGGGUGCCUGUGUCAUAGAAGCUCCCAGAUUUUGAGCGACUGCAUCCUGAAUGGUAGUCCCCGCAGAGAUUUGACUUUCACCACUGGAAGCAGAGGUCACAGAAGGUUCGAGCAUUAUUUUCAGGAGGUAGAGUCCCCUUUGAGGACCUCAGUAAGUUACCCAUAAAUUAAAAAUACUCUGUCAUUGAAUUGGAUCAGAGGAUCUUCUCCAUAGUGUCAUGGCUACUCUGACUGACCAGCAAAAACUCUGCCCAGGCCAAGAGGUCAGAGAACUGCGGUAUUAAUCUCC
RNAcentral lists this long non-coding RNA (391 nucleotides) under Capra hircus (goat). Its description in RNAcentral is "lncRNA (ENSCHIG00010016468.1)". The record is from RNAcentral. Lineage: Eukaryota; Metazoa; Chordata; Mammalia; Artiodactyla; Bovidae.